Dreissena polymorpha is the source of this 3289-nucleotide long non-coding RNA. RefSeq lists it as uncharacterized. The transcript is spliced from 5 exons. The record is from RefSeq and is a predicted model, not a curated record. NCBI's taxonomy places the organism in Eukaryota, Metazoa, Mollusca, Bivalvia, Myida, Dreissenidae.
AGAUGCGCUUGAAUGCUACGACUGCCGAAAUGUCACAGAUACGAACCUGCAACCGAACGGUCACGAGCUAUCCACGUUAACAAGAAAUUGUGUUGACGAUCCGUCCGUCGAUUGUGCGAAGAUGGAUUCCAUAUUCAACGUGUGUGCCGAUAUUCAAAAAGCGAAAUUGGUUUGCCCGAGGUUUUGCAACCUCUGUAACGUGGUUGAUGGACAUUGGAACUGGUUGUCCUCUUCGAGCGGAUGUAACGUCACGUGCGCAAAUGGAACUCAAGCACGUCAUUGAAUUUGCACCGAUCCUGCACCUUACAAUGGUGGACUGGACUGUGUGGGAACAGGAACUGAGAGUCAGACGUGCAUUAUGGAUUCGUGUCCUGUGGGCACCAUCGGGUUCAUGCUCAGUUACAUGCGACAUUGGCAUGCAGAGACGGGUCGGAUCGUGUGACAACCCAUUACCGACAAAAGGUGGGGACAAUUGUUUGGGAGAUUCCAGAGAGGACCGAAUAUGCCUCGCUACAGGAUGCACGGGUAUGUACCGGCGGAUAUGUAUUUGAUGAUUUUCUCAACUGAAACGUUCACCAGAAUUAUUAUUUUAUUUAUAAUUGAGCAUAUUCUUUUAAACGAAAACACAUAAGUGCAUGUAUCAAUUAGCAAAGCAAAUAAUAACUAAAACCAAAUAUAGCAUCCUCUAAAAAAUAAUUAUCUUCCCGCUUGAUGACCGUUGCCAUGAUAACACCCACAUUUUGUACAGCAAUCGCCACACGAGUCGUCAUAUUUAUGAAAUGUAUGUGUAUAUUUUUCCGUUUGUAUUGUAUUCCUUAUGACUGAUUGUAUGGAUUGGUAGCGUACAUGUUUUCGUCGUUUGUUUCUAUAUAAAAGUUCAAAGACCUGUGUCAUAAUGAACACCUAACAACAUCUACUUUAAGCUGCUUAUUACCACAGCGUUGUGUAUGAAAAAGUCCAUAUAAAAACACACACACUACGACGUUUGGUCGACAGCAUGGGACUCGGUUCGGUAUUAAUAUAAAUCACGUCGGAUAUUAUGCACACGUUUGAGUACUUUUUUUUUUGAUGGACAUUGGUUGGCGUGGGACAACUGGAGUUCCUGUUCUGCGUCGUGUGGCGGAGGGCGUUAAACUAGAUACAGAGCAUGCAAUAAUCCACUUCCGUCUCUUCUUGGCCGUUACUGUGAUGGCCUUCCACAAGACAUUGGGAUCUGUAACGGUGCUUCUUGCACAGGUUAUGAUAUCGUAUUUUUUGUUGACCAACCAGCCAUGCCAGGUUGUUGGUUAUCAAAAGACUAUACAUACAAAACAUGUCGUGCGGAAUUUGGUAGAUAUAAUUCACACCCAAAUUAUCAAUUUAGUCUUCAAGAAGCAACGUUUACGGAAGCCAAUUCAUGAGUGUAUAUGUUUACAUGGACUUUUAUCAUAUCACAGACUCAUAGCUGUCAACGAGUGUCUUGUGACCUAAAUAAAAACUACCAUUUACUGUCGACAAUUGCGAUCGAUACAACUAACACUAGGGUAGAGUCUAGUGUACUGGUAUACAUGUCAAAAAAAGAUUACGUGAAAUUGGACAUAUGUGUUUGUCACAAUUCAAAUCGUGGAAACCUCAUACUCGCCAGACCACUCGACAGCCGAUCCACAUUAACGGGCAUUUUUAUGCAUUAGUUAAGAUGCACAUUUUGAUUAUUUCGUCAUUAUUAAUAUACAGGAUGGGUAAUAUGGAAUGAUUCACUAUGCUUAGAAUGUUUCUAAAUCAGUAUAUUUAUUGUUGAUCAUGCCGAAACAUUUUUAACAGCUGCAUUAUUUCUUGAGAGUUUUAAUUAUUUUGCCGUUUUGUGUUUUUGCUUUUCAUGUACUAGUUCACUGACUUUGAAUGUUAUUCCGAAACACGGGACAUUAAAGUAUCGCAAAUUAAAUCAAAUGGUGCAUUUAUUAGUCCAAUACUUUAAAAUUAAAUUAUGAUUUCUUCUUAUCAAAAUAUACUUUGUCACUGUGGCAUUUAUCUUGUUAAACAUUAUGGUUUGAAUUGACACAAAUUGUGCCCACAUUUGUUCUUUCCAGCAGCUUUCUAAAUUGCAAUUAUUAUGAAUGCCAUUCUGGUUCGAUAGAACAGAGACCUGAGCGUAUAAGAAGUUUUAACGCAAACAAUGCAAGACAAAUGAUUCGCUGUAUUGUGUGCAAAUAAUGAGACCCAGUCGUUUAAGAUGUUUUAAUGCAACCGAUGCAAGAGAAAUGAUUCGCUGUAUUGUGUUCACAUAAUGAGACCCAGGCGUAUAAGAAGUUUUAACGCAAACAACGCAAGAUAAAUAAUUUGCUGUACUGUGUUUACAUAAUCAUUUUCACCUUAACGACUGAACGAUGUAUUCACCGAAUUCGCAAUAAUUUUGUACUUAUGUCACUAUUGUUAAACUGCUUUCGCGAACCAUUGUACGUCUGCUUUCGCAGCACUGUGCAUAUAUAUGUAUGCUUUAAUACUAAUACAUAAUUGAGAUAGACGUGUCAGUACUGUUGCACAUAAACUUUGAAAUGAUAUGACCUUAAAUUAUAAUAAAGUGUGUCACUACACACUUUGACGCCAGAUUUGAAAACGUAUUUGUUUAUGGAUUACAAUAGUUUGUUUUGAAAUAUUAAGUAACAAAAGUACUAAAAUUGACAUUAAUUCCCAUACUGACUUUUGGUGGUAAAUUGUAUACGUUUGUGAAAAUGCAUUAUGUUCAGAACAUUUAGAUGUCUUCUGUUAAGAACCAACGUUGGGUUUUAGCCCUCUGAUGACCAUCUCAUACACUAUUGUAUGUGUAUGUAUACAUUACUGCAAAAUGUUGUUUAUUCUCACAACAUUGAUUUAUUUUUGUACAACGCCGUUGAAAUUGUAUUUAGAAACAGAGAUAGGAAAACAAACACGUUUCAAAAAUAAACACCCAAGCUUUGAAUAGAUCGUUUCAAUGUGAUUCUUCAAGCGUCUUUCACGUUCACGCUUAUUGUUGUGUUGCAUGCAUUGUCCUGGAUUGCAUAGAAUAUUGUUUGCUCGAUUAAAAUGUGUAUUUUCAACAAUAAGUUUGGUUUCAAUUAAAUGUUAUUCCAUUGUAUGAUAUUAAGCAAUAAUAAAAACUCUUUAUUUAAAACAGAAAUAACGCUUCGUACAAAAUAUACUUAAAACUACAGGCAAGUAUCAGUUUUGGCAUAGAACUAUAACAUAUUUUUAAAUAAAUGACAAUUAAAUUUUUGUUGUUCUUGUUUGUCAAUUAUCUUGUACAAUUUAAGGUGUUGUCUUAGUGAUGUAAUUA